CAGCAGCCGCGGGAAUACGUAGGUGGCAAGCGUUGUCCGGAAUUAUUGGGCGUAAAGGGCUCGCAGGCGGUCUUUUAAGUCUGAUGUGAAAGCCCACGGCUCAACCGUGGAGGGUCAUUGGAAACUGGAAGACUUGAGUGCAGAAGAGGAGAGCGGAAUUCCAUGUGUAGCGGUGAAAUGCGUAGAUAUAUGGAGGAACACCAGUGGCGAAGGCGGCUCUCUGGUCUGUAACUGACGCUGAGGCUCGAAAGCGUGGGGAGCAAACAGGAUUAGAUACCCCUGUAGUCCCUGUCUCUUAUAC
Molecule: ribosomal RNA, 301 nt
Filed under: uncultured bacterium
Lineage: Bacteria
Description: partial 16S ribosomal RNA
Rfam family: Bacterial small subunit ribosomal RNA
Source: RNAcentral